This 446-nucleotide ribosomal RNA is filed under the name uncultured bacterium. RNAcentral describes it as "partial 16S ribosomal RNA". It matches the Rfam family "Bacterial small subunit ribosomal RNA", at positions 338 to 795 of the family's 1533-position model. The record is from RNAcentral.
CCUACGGGCGGCAGCAGUCGAGAAUCAUUCACAAUGGGGGAAACCCUGAUGGUGCGACACCGCGUGGGGGAAUGAAGGUCUUCGGAUUGUAAACCCCUGUCAUGUGGGAGCAAAUUAAAAAGAUAGUACCACACGAGGAAGAGACGGCUAACUCUGUGCCAGCAGCCGCGGUAAUACAGAGGUCUCAAGCGUUGUUCGGAAUCACUGGGCGUAAAGCGUGCGUAGGCUGUUUCGUAAGUCGUGUGUGAAAGGCGCGGGCUCAACCCGCGGACGGCACAUGAUACUGCGAGACUAGAGUAAUGGAGGGGGAACCGGAAUUCUCGGUGUAGCAGUGAAAUGCGUAGAUAUCGAGAGGAACACUCGUGGCGAAGGCGGGUUCCUGGACAUUAACUGACGCUGAGGCACGAAGGCCAGGGGAGCGAAAGGGAUUAGAUACCCCAGUAGUC